GGGCACGUAGCGCAGCAGGAGGCGCGUCUCGACGGCAUCGAGAAGGCCGCGGGUUCGAUUCCCGCCGUGUCCA
Molecule: transfer RNA, 73 nt
Filed under: Thermoplasmata archaeon
Lineage: Archaea; Methanobacteriati; Thermoplasmatota; Thermoplasmata
Also listed under: 1 other name
Description: tRNA-Ala
Rfam family: tRNA
About the family: Transfer RNA (tRNA) molecules are approximately 80 nucleotides in length. Their secondary structure includes four short double-helical elements and three loops (D, anti-codon, and T loops). Further hydrogen bonds mediate the characteristic L-shaped molecular structure. tRNAs have two regions of fundamental functional importance: the anti-codon, which is responsible for specific mRNA codon recognition, and the 3' end, to which the tRNAs corresponding amino acid is attached (by aminoacyl-tRNA synthetases). tRNAs cope with the degeneracy of the genetic code in two manners: having more than one tRNA (with a specific anti-codon) for a particular amino acid; and 'wobble' base-pairing, i.e. permitting non-standard base-pairing at the 3rd anti-codon position.
Source: RNAcentral